UACGGAGGAUGCGAGCGUUAUCCGGAUUUAUUGGGUUUAAAGGGUGCGUAGGCGGGCUUUUAAGUCAGCGGUAAAAAUUCGGGGCUCAACCCCGUCCGGCCGUUGAAACUGGGGGCCUUGAGUGGGCGAGAAGAAGGCGGAAUGCGUGGUGUAGCGGUGAAAUGCAUAGAUAUCACGCAGAACUCCGAUUGCGAAGGCAGCAUACCGGCGCCCGACUGACGCUGAGGCUCGAAAGCGUGGAUAGCAAACAGG
This 252-nucleotide ribosomal RNA is filed under the name uncultured bacterium. Its description in RNAcentral is "partial 16S ribosomal RNA". It matches the Rfam family "Bacterial small subunit ribosomal RNA", at positions 524 to 776 of the family's 1533-position model. The record is from RNAcentral.